Eubalaena glacialis (North Atlantic right whale) is the source of this 1457-nucleotide long non-coding RNA. RefSeq lists it as uncharacterized. The transcript has 4 exons. The record is from RefSeq and is a predicted model, not a curated record. Lineage: Eukaryota; Metazoa; Chordata; Mammalia; Artiodactyla; Balaenidae.
CGCCCCGUCUCCACAGCAACACCUUAGUAGGAGCCCGGGGGCUUCGGCACCGUGGGAGGCGCACUCGGAUGACGUCACGCACCCGCGGCGCUUGCAUGACGUCAGCCCCGGCUCAGAAGUGGGCUCUGCCGACCAGCAGUGGUCUGGAACCGAACCCGCAGUAUCUCUGAGGUCUGCCUGUGCUCCCACCAUGGCCAGUUUCAAGCUACAGACAUGUCAUCACUGAACCUUCACAGCAUAUCAGCGGUGCUGAUUCUGCCCCAUCCGGGGAUGGGCACGCGACCCAGAGGGGCUGCAUCAGAGUUCUUAGGGCUAUCAGAGAAGACCAUGUCUUUCCCUUGGCACUGAUAAAGAGAUACAACCGGUUCCUGCUUCCACCUGUACUGUGAUGUCUAUCCACCCACCCGUUUACCACCUGGGACCUCUUGGAGAAGAAAAGGAUGAAGGAAGGACGGAAGGAAACAGCCCGCUUGGAAGCAGGAGAAGCAGAGCGGAAGUUGGGUGUUAUCUCCCCCGCAAGCCCUGGAAACCAACAGGGUUACCGCGAUCCUUCAUCCAGUGACAACAGCCUUAUAGAGCAGCAAUGCUGACAAAAGCAAAUGGGCAGCCCAGCAGAGCUUGGCCUGCUGUUCCUCUGAGAGCGAGUGGAAACAAACCCGAUGAGGAAGCUGAUGCUCGGAGAGGUUAAGUAACUUGCUGGGGUCACACAGCUAAGAGGCAUUGCUGGGCCUCAAACUCACGUCUGUCUGGUCCCAAACCUGGCUUCCAUGCUGCACGGAGUGCAAAGCAGAGUGAACCGCAUUUGUGUUUCUCAACUGGUGGCACCGAAUUCAUGAUAAGCAGCGCCACACGAGGUGAACCAUCCUGGGCAGAUGAAUUUCAAAGGCCUGCCACCAGUGUGAGUGUGCCCUGGGCACCAUGGCCAGGGUAGAAUUUUCCCAGCCGAGGUACGGAUCCCCACCUGCAGCCCACAGGAAGGUCCUGGGGAGAUUGCUGGGGGCAGAGCCGGACCUCCCAGCUGCCAUGGGCCAGAUCAGCCUGGGAUGGGCUCACGGCUCUGCAGGAGUGGCUGGGUGCUUGUGCUGUCCCUGGCUGUGGGCAUCUCUCCAAGUGUGGCAGGAGCGCUAUUCCAGGACAGGCAGGAGGCCUCAGCCUGGUCUGCCCCAACAUGCGCCUCUCGGAUGACCGCCUGGCCCCGGAGAGAGGGAGGGCAGAGCCAACGAGAGUUACCCAGCCAUCUGCGGCUCCCGGCAGGAUGGACACAGGUGUGGCCCUUGUGCCCAGUUCACACUGAUCACGCCCGGUUCUGGUCUCCUGACGCUCCCAUUGGAAUCACCUCGCUCCCCACCGCAGCCCUCAUCUGCGGAGAGACUGCUUGGGCUGUCCUCCAAGGAGAGGACUCUCUUGGGCUGAAAUUUUGGCCGGGUUCCAGGGAGCUAGCUUGGUCUGAUUAGGUG